ACGCUCGACACCUACGGGAGGCAGCAGUGAGGAAUAUUGGUCAAUGGACGCAAGUCUGAACCAGCCAUGCCGCGUGCAGGAUGACGGCUCUAUGAGUUGUAAACUGCUUUUGUACGAGGGUAAACGCAGAUACGUGUAUCUGUCUGAAAGUAUCGUACGAAUAAGGAUCGGCUAACUCCGUGGCAGCAGCCGCGGUAAUCUGAGCGGCUGGCAAGGC
Molecule: ribosomal RNA, 217 nt
Filed under: uncultured bacterium
Lineage: Bacteria
Description: partial 16S ribosomal RNA
Rfam family: Bacterial small subunit ribosomal RNA
Source: RNAcentral